Molecule: ribosomal RNA, 449 nt
Filed under: uncultured bacterium
Lineage: Bacteria
Description: partial 16S ribosomal RNA
Rfam family: Bacterial small subunit ribosomal RNA
Source: RNAcentral
GUGGGGAAUCUUCGCAAUGGACGAAAGUCUGACGGAGCGACGCCGCGUGAGUGAAGAAGGCCUUCGGGUCGUAAAGCUCUGUCAUCAGGGACGAACGGCCGGUGGAGUGGAAAGCCACCGGAUUGACGGUACCUGAGAAGGAAGCCACGGCUAACUACGUGCCAGCAGCCGCGGUAAUACGUAGGUGGCAAGCGUUGUCCGGAAUUAUUGGGCGUAAAGCGCGCGCAGGUGGGAUCUUAAGUCCAUUUUGAAAGUUCGGAGCUCAACUCCGUGAUGGGAUGGAAACUGGGAGUCUUGAGUACCGGAGAGGAAAGCGGAAUUCCCCGUGUAGCGGGGAAAUGCGUAGAUAUCGGGAGGAACACCAGUGGCGAAGGCGGCGUCCUGGCACAAUACUGACGCUCAUGUGCGAAAGCUAGGGCAGCGAACGCGAUUAGAAACCCUUGUAGUCC